CCUACGGGUGGCAGCAGUGGGGAAUAUUGGACAAUGUGCGAAAGCCUGAUCCAGCCAUGCCGCGUGUGUGAAGAAGGCCUUCGGGUUGUAAAGCACUUUCAGUGGGGAAGAAAGCCUUGGGGCUAAUACCCUCGAGGAAGGACAUCACCCACAGAAGAAGCACCGGCUAACUCCGUGCCAGCAGCCGCGGUAAUACGGAGGGUGCGAGCGUUAAUCGGAAUUACUGGGCGUAAAGCGCGCGUAGGCGGUCUGAUAAGCCGGUUGUGAAAGCCCCGGGCUCAACCUGGGAACGGCAUCCGGAACUGUCAGGCUAGAGUGCAGGAGAGGAAGGUAGAAUUCCCGGUGUAGCGGUGAAAUGCGUAGAGAUCGGGAGGAAUACCAGUGGCGAAGGCGGCCUUCUGGACUGACACUGACGCUGAGGUGCGAAAGCGUGGGUAGCAAACAGGAUUAGCUACCCGAGUAGUC
This 465-nucleotide ribosomal RNA is filed under the name Vreelandella stevensii. RNAcentral's name for it is "partial 16S ribosomal RNA". It matches the Rfam family "Bacterial small subunit ribosomal RNA", at positions 338 to 795 of the family's 1533-position model. Lineage: Bacteria; Pseudomonadati; Pseudomonadota; Gammaproteobacteria; Oceanospirillales; Halomonadaceae. The record is from RNAcentral.